AGCAAACUCUGAGUUUCCGUCUUAUAUAAAAUUUUUUUAUAAUUUGUAUUUUUAUUGUUGUUAGAUGAUAAAACAUGAUUAAUAUUUUAUGCAUAACUUGUCUUUUUAAUUUUUUUUAUAUUUUUUCAAAUAAGACGGACGGUCAAACGUUGAGCACGGAAAUCAGGG
RNAcentral lists this microRNA precursor (168 nucleotides) under Oryza barthii. RNAcentral describes it as "MIR812 microRNA precursor family". It matches the Rfam family "MIR812 microRNA precursor family", at positions 27 to 194 of the family's 205-position model. The record is from Rfam by way of RNAcentral. Lineage: Eukaryota; Viridiplantae; Streptophyta; Magnoliopsida; Poales; Poaceae.